Molecule: long non-coding RNA, 470 nt
Filed under: Phoenix dactylifera (date palm)
Lineage: Eukaryota; Viridiplantae; Streptophyta; Magnoliopsida; Arecales; Arecaceae
Description: long non-coding RNA (PDAC_LNC013642)
Source: RNAcentral
AGGUUUGUGAAGGGAGGCAUUGGAGAGAGAUCGACAGAGGCGGUCAGAGAUCCCCAGGGACUUCCAGGAGACCCCCUCCUCCGCGAAGAAGUAGCUGCCGUUCUUCUCCGCACCUUCUUCCACGGUCUCCGCGGCCGUGCCAAACGCCCUAGCCGUCACCCUCGCGCAGAGACCCGAGAAAGGCUUCGGCGCGGAGCCACAGUGGAGCGGCGGGCUCCGUGGGGAAAGCGAGCGUUUCGGGAGAAGAAAAAGUGGAGUUCCGACGAGGAGGGGACACAGAGUUUGGGGCGGAGGUGGUGGAGGAGAGGAGCGCGGCGGAGCGAGUGCAUCGUGUUGCUUCUCAUUCACCGCCGGCGAUCGUGGUACAUGGCGGAUGGGAUUUCGGCUGUAGAGAGAGGUGGAUUUCGGGCGUCUAACGGCGCCUGCGCUGGUUAUUCCAUUUUGGGCCUCCUCAGUCCUGAUAAACCCGG